Molecule: ribosomal RNA, 158 nt
Filed under: Escherichia coli
Lineage: Bacteria; Pseudomonadati; Pseudomonadota; Gammaproteobacteria; Enterobacterales; Enterobacteriaceae
Description: partial 23S ribosomal RNA
Rfam family: Bacterial large subunit ribosomal RNA (bases 1-141)
Source: RNAcentral
AAACUUGCCCCGAGAUGAGUUCUCCCUGACCCUUUAAGGGUCCUGAAGGAACGUUGAAGACGACGACGUUGAUAGGCCGGGUGUGUAAGCGCAGCGAUGCGUUGAGCUAACCGGUACUAAUGAACCGUGAGGCUUAACCUUACAACGCCGAAGCUGUU